Molecule: long non-coding RNA, 2247 nt
Organism: Vespula vulgaris
Lineage: Eukaryota; Metazoa; Arthropoda; Insecta; Hymenoptera; Vespidae
Exons: 5
Source: RefSeq, a predicted model, not a curated record
UGAUUCAAGUUUAGUUAUUACGAAACGCUUUACGAAUAAGACACUCGACUCUUAUCUUUCUCAGAAUAAAGUAUUUAUGAUCUAGCAUCACAGCUAACAAGAAUCUUACGGUCUUAUUUUUUAUCGCAAUUAUUGUUUAAACAAAUGGACACGAAGGAUCAUGAGAAAACCAGGAGAGUUGGUCAUAUAAUCCUACUGGCAACAAACUUGUCGCAUUAUCCAUUGCAUCACGUUCGGCAACCAGGCGUUAGUUUCCAGGAGAAGGACAUUAGGUUCGAGAGAGCUAAGAGGGUUGACAACGGGCACGAGUCAGGCAGUAGACUAACGAGGAGAAGUCAGCGAUGUAAACCCCGGGGAAGGGAGCCCAGUCAAAAUGCAGCCUCAUUCUACCGUGUAACAGAUGAAAGUUCGCUUUGAAAUUUGGUAACUAAGAGUAGAUCUUGGAACGGCGAUACGUUACGGUGCAUCCAGCGAUCAUUAUGAUUACUCCUAUCUAUAUCAAUACAGCGAAGAGGAAGACCUUUGCGUGAGUUUGAAACUAUUUAACGAUCGCUUAAAGAUCACUUCGUUUCUUCUUCUCUAAUGAGAGGAGGGCAAAUACAGAAAAAGAAAGAUUUUUGGUCAGACAAUGGCACAUCGAUACGAUUUAUCGAUAGGAGGUCAUUGAUGUUAGAAUCAGGAUUCCGUCGAAACUUUCCUAACGAUGAUAUAUCGAGGUAAGUGCUGGAGCCUUAAGUCUCGAUCGUUCCGAUAAGGCCUAAAGUACUCUCCCUCUCGUUUCUACCCUCCUUUUCUUCUUCCUUCCUCAUCCAGACCAGGGUGGAAACAUUAGGUACGCCGCAACCCUUCGCGUUAGUCACCUAGAUGACCGUGACUGAUCGUUCCGUUAUAACUCGCCAUGAAAAACGUUUCCGCGAUAUGACAUCGUUUGAAAAAGUGACGUCUUUCAUUUUUUGACAUGGAACUUCGAGGAAGAAGUGAACUGCGUUUGCAAAAUGCCCAGACAUCGAUCUAAGUAUUUUAUAAAUUAACCUUCGUCGCUAACAAAAAGACGUCUGGGUCAAGUGACUUUUUUCAUCUUCAUCGUCGUUACGUUCCUGAAAGAGAUGCGAAGUAUUUUUUGCCGGUAAUAGCUCUUCGUUAGCUCGUUUAGGUAUGCGUAUAUUCGCAUCGACAAACUAUACUAAAACGACGUUUUUGGAGGGAUAGAAAUUUCAAUGGCUUUUACCCAAGGUAGAAAUGGGGAGCGAAUACAUCGUUCCCUAAUAACUUUUUAAAAUUGAGCGUCGUUAACGAGUCAGCAAGGUCGUAGUCAUCAAAAUGCUGUGUUGUCCCUUACGCUAUGCGAUUCUUCUGCCCUUUUUGGAGUGCCAUCAUCGACGAUAGAAUUUUUCCAUUAUUUCCAUCGUAAUUAGCAUAAUUUGUUAUAUCGAAAAUUAAUUUAUGCAACAGAUGGAUUGGAUAUCAACCGAAGGGAGCCGCACAUUCUCGAAAAUCGAGGUUUAUGAUCGUAACAUGUUUGCAAUUUACUUUUGUUUCCAUUAAUCGACAGAACAGGUCCUUUCUUCUUCAUUUCAGUCAUCCUUUUGUUCAUAGUAAUAAAUCAAUCGUCGUAAUCUUGCUCUCGUGAAAUUUCACGGGACUCGAAGAAACUUUUGUUAAGUUUGGCACUAAAGAUCACUACACAUAUUUUCUUAUUAAAAAAACGAAGGAAGAUCACGUUGUACGCCUUCGCAAAUGAAAAUGUAAAUGACCGUGACUACUGAAAUUUCGUCAAUAUCAAGUGGCAAUAUGUCUUCCCUAAUAAACUUAUAUAGAAUGAUAAACCAGGAAUACAAGUUUUUAUUAUAUGGUAAACAACGCGAAACACCGUACGAAAGAUUUAUAAGUUGGAUUUUUCACGCACGAAACUUGAUAGGCCGUACUACAUUAUUAUUUUCCCUGGCUCUUCCAUUAUUUGGCGUAGGAAUAAUGUUGUAUUACAGAGGAAAAAGUAAUACGGUCGAACGUAAAGCCGUUAUUCAAAAUUAAGGGAUUUUUGUACUUUGUUAUUCUAAUUUUGCAUCAUGUUCAGCCAUGAUCUAAAUUUGGAAUACAUAUGAUGUUUGUGAGAUAAAAACUCUUUGUAAAGUCGAAAUAUUUGUAAAAUGUUAUUAUUUUUCAUCCGUUGUCAAUAGGAAUGCAAGUAAAUCUGAUAAUAAUAAGUUUUAUUCAAUAAAAAGGUUCGUAAUUAAUAUAAUAUUUAAU